This 681-nucleotide ribosomal RNA is filed under the name uncultured bacterium. RNAcentral describes it as "bacterial SSU rRNA". It matches the Rfam family "Bacterial small subunit ribosomal RNA", at positions 53 to 749 of the family's 1533-position model. The record is from RNAcentral.
GCAUAUACGAUGAAGUUUUCGGAUGGAAUUGUAUAUACUUUAGCGGCGGACGGGUGAGUAACGCGUGAGCAACCUGCCUUUCACAGGGGGAUAAGGCGGCGAAAGCCGCUCUAAUACCGCAUGAGACCACAGUGGUGAUGCUACAGGGGUCAAAGGAGCAAUCCGGUGAGAGAUGGGCUCGCGUCCGAUUAGGUAGUUGGUGGGGUAAUGGCCCACCAAGCCCGUGAUCGGUAGCCGGCCUGAGAGGGUGAACGGCCACAUUGGAACUGAGACACGGUCCAAACUCCUACGGGAGGCAGCAGUGGGGAAUAUUGGGCAAUGGGGGGAACCCUGACCCAGCAACGCCGCGUGAGGGAAGAAGGUUUUCGGAUUGUAAACCUCUGUUCUUGGGGAAGAGUAGAAGACGGUACCCAAGGAGGAAGCCCCGGCUAACUACGUGCCAGCAGCCGCGGUAAUACGUAGGGGGCGAGCGUUGUCCGGAAUGAUUGGGCGUAAAGGGCGCGUAGGCGGCUUUGCAAGUCAGUAGUGGAAGUCCAUUUUUCAAGGAUGGAAGUGCUACAGAAACUGCGGAGCUUGAGUGCAGGAGAGGUUAUCGGAAUUCCCGGUGUAGCGGUGAAAUGCGUAGAGAUCGGGAGGAACACCAGUGGCGAAGGCGGGUAACUGGACUGCAACUGACGCUGA